UGGAAGCUGGGAUUUUGUCAGUGUGGGCUUUCAGUCGGAUGUUUGCAUCAUCUUAUUGCCACAAACCACCAACAGAAACCCUAUUGCCAACAUGCAUUGAUAUUUG
MicroRNA precursor from Oryzias sinensis (Chinese medaka), 106 nucleotides. NCBI's taxonomy places the organism in Eukaryota, Metazoa, Chordata, Actinopteri, Beloniformes, Adrianichthyidae. The record is from Ensembl.